GNCCUUUUGAUUAUAAUUUAAGGUCGUACCUGCUCAAUGAUUUUUUAAAUAGCUGCAGUAUACUGACUGUGCAAAGGUAGCAUAAUCAUUAGUUUUUUAAUUGAAAGCUUGUAUGAAAGGUUUGAUGAGAAAAGAACUGUCUCUAUUUAAUUUUAAAAGAAAUUUAUUUUUAAGUGAGAAAGCUUAAAUUUAGGUUGGGGACGAGAAGACCCUAUAGAGUUUUAUAUCUUAUUAGUUAUUAGGUUUAUAGAAUUGUCUACUAGUAUGAGUUAAGAUAUUUUGUUGGGGUGAUAGAAAAAUUUAAUUAACUUUUUUUUUAUUAAAACAAUAAUUUUUGAGUAGUUGAUCUUAAAAUUUAGAUUAGAAGAUUAAAUUACCUUAGGGAUAACAGCGUAAUAUUUUUUAGAGUUCUUAUCGAAGAAAGUGAUUGCGACCUCGAUGUUGGAUUAAAAUAUGUGAGUGGCGAAGAGGCUGCUAAACUAAGUCUGUUCGACUUUUAAAAUUUUACAUGAUCUGAGUUUAGACCGGCGUGAG
This 534-nucleotide ribosomal RNA is filed under the name Torneuma orbatum. RNAcentral's name for it is "partial 16S ribosomal RNA". It matches the Rfam family "Bacterial large subunit ribosomal RNA", at positions 1829 to 2625 of the family's 2925-position model. Lineage: Eukaryota; Metazoa; Arthropoda; Insecta; Coleoptera; Curculionidae. The record is from RNAcentral.